This is a long non-coding RNA of Solanum pennellii, 18318 nucleotides long. RefSeq lists it as uncharacterized. The transcript is spliced from 29 exons. The record is from RefSeq and is a predicted model, not a curated record. Lineage: Eukaryota; Viridiplantae; Streptophyta; Magnoliopsida; Solanales; Solanaceae.
GUUUUUUACGCGUCUAUUUCUUAAAACGCGUGUUAGAAAUCUAUAAAAUACGGUACCUGGGCAUUGUGUAAGUCAGAAAGUCAUGCUCAUACGCUACCGGCGGCGUUCUCCGGCGCCAGACUACGCUGCGUAUGUCGCCGACGAAGCAAAACUGUAAACCCUAAGUUAAUUUUCUCCAUGUAUCUGCGUCUUUCCUCCAUUAACUGUUUUGUGACAAUGUCAGAUUUUCUUUGAAUUCUUGCCUGCAUUCCUUUUAAGAAAAAUCAAGAACUUACCUAUCUUUUUGAAGUUACACCUGUAUUGCUAAGGCAUAUUUACAGGAAAUAAUGUAAUUGUUAUUUUCAAGAAUAUAUUGACAUUGCAAAUAUAAAGAAAUUCAAGAAAACUUUCUUUCUCCAAAAAAUUCUGUUGUUUUUCGUACUGUGUUGAAGAUGUUCUAGAAUUUGUUUUUGAGGCUUUUUAUCUUGUAUGAUUUCAGAAGGGUUGUUGAGGAGUUGGUUUGGUAGUUGUUGUUGAAGUCUCCACUCACACAACUUUUAAAGAUAGUGUACUGAUGUUCAUGAUGCUGACAUCAUCUUUUCUAUUGUAUUGAUGCCGAUGUACAUAAUUUCUUUGCCCAACAACUAUGAUGUACAUAACUUGGAAUGGUCGUUGUAGUCAUAGGAUUGCAUGCAUUACUCAACUAACAGGCGGUUCUGGCGGUUUGUGUUCAUUUGUUUGCAUGUAUAAUCCGGAAGCCCAAUGAGGGUUUUGCAUUCUCUGAAAGAAUCUCCCUUGUGCGUCCCACUGUCUCCUUCAAAAUUGUUGACAUUGAAAGGCCUGUCUCUGUUAUACUAGCUAACUUAAGGAUAUGUCCCAUCUGGUUUCUUUGAUUUUGUAAAUUUGUGUGCAGUGAGGAUGAACGAAUUUGCACACAUGCUUCUCCUUCUCUCUGUUGCCGCUAUCGUCCACUGGGAUUUUCAUUCCUCUGAGUUCCCUUAACAAAUUGAAUUAAAUGGAAUUCAACAGAUGGUUCAUUCAAGCUCACGGCAGGUCUUGAUGUUUACAUAAUGAAUGUAUACGGGCCCAAAUUAAUGGAUAAGAGAUGUGAUAAGUUAUCUUUUUUACAUAUUGUUUCUUUAACAACCACUGUUUAAUCUUAAGAUUUGGUUAACAUUUACUAUAAUCUGGAGACCAUGUUCUCAGGGUACCAUGUGUCUUUUCAGUAAUGUGUAAAAUGAUGUUAUUCUUUUCUUUACAUUUGCCAUCUAGUUAUACAAUUAGUUGUGUUGAAGUAGGUGAAAGUACAAGGCACAAUAAGUAUAUGAAUAUAUGUGAUGCAGGUCAGUAGUAUUGUUUUUUUUAGUGUUGUAAUCUAAUAUUGUGUAGGUGAUCAAGAAGAACGUAUUUUCAAGUCAAAGAUUCUAAAUCUGCAUAACUGUAAGUACUUCCUUUCCUCCAACCUCACUGCAUUGUCUGUUUCUUCAUCUAAAGCCGUUCUGGAGGACUUCUCCUAUUGAUAUUACCAAGUGGCUCUAUAUCUAUUCUCAGAUUUGUCAACCAGAGCUUUGUAUGUGAGAGGCACUGUUAUUAGAUAUGAUGUUCAACACUUUCUUUUCUUUAAAGUUGUUGAUCACGUCUGUAUGUAGGCAUGUUUUGAUUAUUUGUUAUUGCUGAAGUUGAGCUGGAACAUACAUAUUCAUGCUUAGGUACUUUUAGCCCAACUUAUGGAGACAGCAUAUGUGCCUGUUUCUUUCAUCUUUUAUUGUGCUUUCUUUUUGACCGGACAUUUCAAUUAACUAUUGUUUCGUCUACUUCCUUUACACCACUGACAUCAAAAUACUGCCAUUCAGAUGUUAAGCAUGCUUUCCCAGCAAGCUUUGGCUUGAAAGGAGAGGCUCUGAGCUGAGAUGACCUUUCUUUGUUGAAAAUUGUUACUAAAACUCAUGGGAUCGAAAGGUUUGAAGGUAAAGUUCUUUUAGUAUCCAUUAGGAUAGGUAUAAAAAUACUAAUCUGGUCUUUGUCUAUGCCAUUUUGUGUUUUGAGUUGUUGAUUGUAGACAAGAAAAUCUUAAGAAUUAUUGAUACAAUGAGCUAUGCUCUCCUCUUGGGUGGAUGAGGACUUGGAUAAAUUGAUUGAUACUGGAAAUCGAGGUAAAAUAGAUGAGCUUAUAAGGAAUAAGAAGAGUAGAAGAAGUCAUACAACUCUUCCAUUUUUCCAGCACAAGAAGUUCUUUGCAACAAUUGAGUCUGCAAGAAGGAAGCAGGAAAUAAUAAUAUUAAGACUGUUAAUGAUGUGCCACUCUUGCCAGAAACUAAAGCUGCAUGGGGACUGCAUCAUUCUGUAGAAACUAUCUGGUCGGAGCUUCCAUGGCAGUCCCAUCAUGCCAAGUGCGAAAAUAAAACUUGUUAACAUCUGAAAUAACAAAUUACAAGGAAAAGGGGAGUGCACAAGUCCACACGAUGGGGAGUCAAAAUAAGGUAAACUGUUCCUGCCAUUUGUUCAUGCCUGACUUGAAUAAGAGCUGAAAUUUUUCAGUGCAUGUUUCAGUUAAUUGGCUUCAUUUGUUUCACCCACUUUUCAAGAUUAUCUUAGACUGCGUUAUUACUGAUCAUGAAAACAUUAGAUAUUACAUUGUCUUUUUCUAAGUCUCCUAGGCCAUGUAGUCUCUUUCAAUUUCUGUCUUUGCUAUGUAUGCAUGGAUGAGAACGACAGUAAGUUUUAGUUUCUUUGACAUUGAUUUAAUGCAUUUUGAUGUGCACAAAGUCGUGCUCAAUUUAUUAUUUUACGUCCUCAACUGAAGUUGUGUACUUUCUCUGAAGGAUCAUCUGAAGUUGUACCUUCUGUUGAAAGAUCAUCUGAACUUGUCCCUUCUUUUGAAGGAUAAUCUGAAGUCGUAUGUAUCUUCUUUUGGAUGGUCAUCUGAAAUGGUACUUCUCUUUGAAGGAUCAUACACAGUUGUAAGGAUCAUCUGAAGUUGUACUUCCUUUUGAAGGAUCAUCUGAAGUUGGAUCACGAGUUUGAACAAUUUUCUGACAUUGAACAGCGAAGUAGAUCUCAUAUAUGUUCACUUUUUUUUGUUGAACCUAAACUUCCCAGGAUAAGUUUAUAUGAUUUUACUUUGGGGUCUUCAAAGAAUUAUGUGGAACAUAGGUGUGAUAGUUGUUGGCAUUUAUGACUUAGACUCCUGUUUUAUGCUUACCCUAUCAUUUCUGCUCCCCUUUAAAUGAAUUUUGCAGUUUUUUUUUUUUUUUACGAAUCUACAUCAAUUUUUGUAAAUCUAGAUAUGUGCUGCAUCAAUCAUCUUGGGAGCCUUGCUAUCUUUCCGAGAUAGUGACAUUCAGCUGUAUAUUGAUUUUUUAGUAGGGUCAGGGUAGAGGGGUGGCUCAUUUUCUCAGGAGUUUGAAACUUGCAGGUCAAUCUCGGUCAUCUAAUUCAAUAAAAAAAUUUUGUUUUUCAGAAUUAGUAGAAACCUACCAAAAUAUUUAGGUUGAUCUUCAUUCCUCAGCGAUGGAGAUUGGAAAUGCAGCUUUGACACUUUGAUCUUUGCAUUAUUCUAGAGAGUAGUGUAUGCUGUCUGGCCAUUUUAACUAGCUUCGUAUGCUUGCUUUACACCAGCUACAUCAAAAUACAACCAUUAAGAUUAAUUGCAUGCUUUCCCAGCAAGUUUUGGCUUUAAAUGAGAGGCUCUAAGCUCUAUUUGUGACGUUUCUUUGUUGACAAUUGUUACUAAAACUCAUGGGAAUCCAAAUGGAUAUUGUAAGAUUUCAGGUAAAGUUCUUUUGAGUUUUAGUUUGUAGGAUCCAUUAGGAUAGGUGUAAAACUACUUACUUGGCCGUCUUUGUUCUUGCCAAUAUUUACAGGUCGACAAGCGUUUAUUCCUUGGAAUUGAUGAUUGUAGACAAGAUGUUGGUAGAAUAGGUAAUUAUGUAUAAGCCUACAUGAUACAAGUGUUGACUAUUGUUUGCUAAUAAGGUAAUUUCUUGGAUUUUUCUCUUUGUAAUCAUUGUUCGUGAUGUAUUUUACAACCAACCAGUUUAAAGGAAGCAAAUGCACUCCAAUUACUUCUAACUUUCUCACAAUUCAAACAAAUAAAUAUUGAUCUACUUCUACUCUGUCCUGAUUGAUCUUUUGGUUUCCAUAUAUAAUUUGGAAGACGAAUGAAGGUCUUGCAUUCUCUGAAAUAGUCCUUGCGAAUUUCCCUUGUGCUUCCCAGUGUCUCCUUCAAAAUUGUUAAUAUUGAAAGGUCAGUCUCUGUUAUACCAGCUAAUUUAAGGAUAUUUCCUUCUGGUUCCUUCGAUUUUGUAAGUUUGAAUGCAGUGAGGAUGAUAUACUUUGCACAUGUGCUUCUCCUUCUCUGAUGCUGCUAUUGUCCAGUGGGGUUUGGCAUUCCUCUGAGUUCCCUUAACAAAUUGAAUUGAAGUGAUUCUUCAUUCAAGCUCUCAGGAUACCUUCUCAGGUCCUAACUACAGGCCCAAAUUAAUGGAUAAGGGAUGUGAUAAGUUAUCUUUUCUACACUUUGUUUCUGUAACGACCUGUUAAGCUUUGCAGGUCCUUCAGUAUUUCCGCGUCCACUUAUUUCAGUAUGUUGUUCUGGCAAAAGAAAUCGGAAGACUUAUAUUUGGUUGACAUUUACUAUAUCGUAUCUUUGUUUUGCACAGUGUUAUUGUUUUCCUUGACCUUCGUAUAAAGGAAAUUCGACUUUAAUGAUAGCCAAGCUUACUCUUUAGUACCCCUACUUAAUCUUAUGUACUCUUGUGAUGUUUGACGGAGUCAUCUGUUAAUAGGGGGAGGCUGCUGUUUUAUUUCCAGACGGAUUUGGUGAUAGACGUGUGGAGGGUAAAUACUUGCUGCCAAAUAUGCCCGUGAAAACAGGAUUCCUUACCCGGGCAUAUGUCUAGGCAUGCAAAUUGCUGUGAUCGAGUAUGCUACAUCCAUUCUUGGGUUUCAAUAUGCGAACAGUACAGAGUUUGAUACCAACACUCACAAUCCUUGUGUAAUUUUUAUGCGGAAAUUAGUUCUGAUACUUCCCCUUUAUCAUGAAUUUCCCUCAUGAUAUUCAUGUGUUUUAGGUCUCAUUUUAGUAGCAGCUAUAUCAUUCUGUUGACCAUGUUCACAGGGUUCAAAAGCGCAUAUGGGUGGUAGCAUGCGUCUUGGAUCAAGAAGAACAUAUAUUUUUGAUGAAGUAUGGUGAUUUCAUUAGAAGGCAUCAAGAAGAUGCAAGGCAAAAAUAUAAUUUUCUAAAUAACUAAAGAGACAAAGUCCAAAAAAAGAUCAACAUGAUCAUAGGGCCUGGGUGAACCAACUAUAUAAGUAGACUUAAUAGUUGGAUUAAGAAUGGGGUUAGGAAUUGAAAUCCCAUCAAAACAUGUACGAUUCCUUUCAUUCCAGAUGCACCAAAAGAUAGUAGCAGGCACCAUGCGUCAUGUUUUUUUGAUGGGUUUCCCAACUCUCCACGAACACCAGCUCUCAUAGGCUUCUUUAGUACUAUUUGGCAUGACCCAGGUAGUUCCAGAAACUGAUAAGAAUAUACUUCAUAUGCCUGCUGCUACUUUACAGUGCAAAAAUAGAUGCCUUCCAAAAACUGAUAAGAACGUAUUUUCAAGUCAGAGAUUCUAAAUCUGCAUAACUGUAAGUACUUCCUUCAACCUUACUGCAUUGUCUGUAUCUUCAUCUGAAGCCGUUCUGGAGGACUUCUCCUAAUGAUAUUACCAAGUGGCUAAACUAUAUCUUUUCUCGGAUUUGGCACCCGGAGCUUUGUAUGUGAGAGGCACCAUCAUAAGCAUGAUGUUCAACACUUUUUCAUCUUUAAACUUGUUGACCACUUCUGUAUGUAGGCAUGUUUUGAUUAUUUAUUGUUAAGCUGGAACAUACAUAUUCAUGCUUAGGUACUUUUAGCCCAUCUUAUGAAGACAACAUAUGUGACUGUUUCUUUCAUCUUCUAUUGUGCUUUCUUUUCGACUGGCCAUGUCAAUUAACUAUUGUUUUGUCUACUUUCUUUUCACCAGCGACAUCAAAAUAUUGCCAUUCAGAUGUUAUGCAUGCUUUCCUAGCAAGCUUUGGCUUGAAAGGAGUGGUUCAGAGCUGUAUUUCCAGCCUUUCUUCAUUGAAAAUUGUUACUAAAACUCAUAGGAUGCCAAAUGGAUAUCGAAAGGUUUGAAGGGUGGAUGGGAACUUGCAUAAAUGGAUUGAUACUGGAAAUCGAGGUAAACCAGAUGAGCUUAUAAGGAAGAAGAAGAUUAGAAGGAGUCAUACACUCUUCCAUUUUACCAUGGCAAGAAGUUCUUUGCCAUAAGUGAGUCUGCAAGAAGGAAGCAGGAAAUAAGAAUAUUAAGACUGUUAAUGAUGUGCCACUCAUGCCAGAUACUAGAGCUGUAAGGAGACUGCAUCAUUCUGCAGAAACUAUCUGGUCGGAGCUUCCAUGGCAAUCAUCCCAUCAAUGUGAUCAAUCUCCCACCCCAAGUUGUGGUGACGGUGUAUUCUCUGAUUUACCGUGAUGUUAUAAUUUCUUGGGAGGGUUAGGCCAAGUGUGAAAAUAAAACUUGUUUAACAUCUGAAAUAGCAAAUUACAAGGUCAAGGGGAGUGCACAAGUACACGCGAUGGGGUGUCAAAAUAAGAUACACCUGUGAAUUGUGAGAUAAAGAAAAAGAGGCGCAGGGCCCAGAGUUGGAAAGCUACACUGGAGAGUGCACUGUCAGGAGAGAGAUUGGAUUUUUGCAGAAUCUAGGAAAAACAGAUGGAGAGAAAUUCUUUGCCAAGAGUUUGUCUUCAAGAAAGGCAGCGAGAAAUAAUAAUAAGAAGACUGUUCAUGAUGUGAUACUCAUGCCAGACCUGUAAGGAGACUGCAUCAUCUGCAGAAGCUAUCUGCUCGGAGCUUCCACAGCAGUCAUACCAUCAGUGUGAUCAAUCUUCCACUUCAAGUUGUGGUGAAGGGGUAUCACGAUGUAAGGCCAAGUGUGAAAUGGAACUUGUUAAUAUCUGGAUUAGCAAAUUCUCAAGCUUAAGGGGAGUGUACAAGUACACGCGAUGGGGAGUUAAAAGAAGUAACAAAUUACAAGGUAAAGGGGAGUGCACAAGUCCACGCGAUGGGGAAUAAAAAUAGGGUAAACCGUUCCUGCCAUUUGUUCAGGGUUCAAAAGCGCAUAUGGGUGGUAGCAUGCGUGUUUUCAAGUCAAAGAUUCUACAUUUGGUAGUUGUUUCUAAAACUCACGGGAGGCUGAAUGGAUAUCGUAAGGUUUUGAAGGACGGCAUUUGAAGUGUUAACAGGUUGACAAGUGUUUGUACCUUGGAAUUGAUGAUUGUAGACAAAAUCUUGGUAUAACAGUGUGUUAGAAUCCACAUUGUUUGGAGAACGAAAAUCCACAAACUCUGCGCACCCCCUUACAUCUAAUGCUUUACCUACAGAGGAUGAUUUACUGGAUAACAAAUUCAGUGCUUCAGCUAGAUCCAGUUAUAAAUCAGACUGCCUGUUAGGUUCUGGAUUAGAGGAGUCUUAAACAAUUGUAGCUGGCAGAUCAACAGAGGAUGCCUCAUUUUGGGGAGUCUCUUGAACUUCAUAAGAUUCAAAUGUGAUGCAUGUGAGAAGGAAAGCAUUUAUGUGGAGCUGUUCUUUGCACAGAAGCCUGAUAUGAUCAUCUUAUCGAUUUCUUUAAACAGAUUGCUGAAAAAUAUGGUUCUGGCCUGCCAUCUUUUAGUUGAGACUGUCUCCUCUGCCACCAUAUCCUGAGUGUGCUAUUGUGAAGUCUAACUCUGAGCAUGAAGUUAAUAUGUUUUGGUUUGGUUAAAGCAGGACUUGAUUCUGAUUCACAAGCUGCCAACAUCUGUCACACUUCUUGCGGUUUCUUGCUCCAUUCUGAGGUAUCAAUAACAGUUUAUAUCAGUUAUGUGCUGCAUCUUGUUGAAAGCAAGAAAGAUUUUUGAGGGUUUAAGCCUUUCAAGUGUCAUUUGUGGCGCAUUGUCUCUUAAUAAAUGGAGAGUGUCAUAGGGUGCUUUAUCUUUUGUUCCAUCACAUUGUGAUCGUCUGGGAGUGUAUAUUCUUAUGUAGAAACUGAGGCCCAUGACAAAAUGAACCAUGCUGCAUAUGAGUGAAUUCAUUCGUUUUGAAGAACUGCUUGAGUAGCUUGCUGAUGCAGAUGGAUCAUCAACAGUACCCUAUCAGUGAAUCGGGUCUUGAAAAAACAAGGUGCAAUUAUGUACUGAUGCAUUGUUGUCUUCCGAAUGUUCCUCAUUGUUGAGGAGUUGAAGCAGAUUCCAUUGUGUGUUCAAGUGAGUCGAAAAUUGCAUUUAAGGAAAUAUCUGCAUUGGAACUGCAUUUGAUGUGAGGAUGACCUGCCUUUGCACACGUGCUUUUUCUUCUCCUUGCCGCUGUUGUCCAAUGGUUGGAAUUCAUUCGAGCUCCCUUAAUAAAUUGAAUGCAAGCUUUCAGGAUAAAGAGACGUGAUAAGUUAUCUUUUCUACAGUUUGUUUCUUUAAAAACCACUGUUUAAUUUGCAGGUCCUUCAGUAUUUUUCAGUAUAUUGUCCUGACAAAGAAAAACAGGAAACUAAUCUUUGGUUAACAUUUACUAAAUUGGAUGCUUUCCUUUUAUGGUGUGUUUGUUUUCCUUGACCUUCGUAAUGCAGGUUUCAAUUCAAGAUUUGUUUCUUAAGAACCAAUACAAAAAUUACUUAAUAACAUAGCUACGAGUUUUGACAGUGUUUCUGACAUUGAGCAGCGAAGUAGAUCUCAGAUAUAUUCACUGUUCUUGUUGAAUCUAAACUGCCCAAGAUAAGUUUUAUAUGAUUUGAUUUUUAGGCCUUCAAAGAACUCUGUGGAACAUAGCUGUGAUUUUUGUUGGCAUUGAUGACUUAGUCUCCUGUUUUUUGCUUACCCAAUUAUUUCUGCUUCCAUUAAGAUGAAAUUUGCAGUUUUUUUUUUUUACGAAUCUACAUCAAUUUUUGUGAAUCUAGACAUUUGCUGCAUCAAUCAUCUUGGGAGCCUUGCUAUCUUUCCGAGAUAGUGACAUUCAGCUGUACUGUGAUUUUUAAGUAGGGUCAGGGUAGAGGGGUCGCUCAUAUUCUCAGGAGUUUGAAACUUGCAGGUCAAUCUCAGUCGUUUAAUUCAAAUGAAAAUUUUCUGUUAUUCAGAAAAAGUAGAAUCCUACCAAAAAAUUUAGGUUGAUCUUCAUUCUUCAGCUAUGGAGGUUGGAAAUGCAGCUUUGACACUGUUGAUCUUUGUAUUAUUCUAGAGAGUAGAGACUCAAGAGCUUUCGAGGAUACUUUUUUAUGUACUCUUUGUUUCAAAAGGUUCUGAUAUUCUGUUUAUAUUGGGCGUUAGUCUAUCUGUUAGAGUUUCUUCAACAGGCAUGUUUUGAUUAUUUGUUCUUGCUGAAGUUGGCUGGAACAUACAUAUUCAUGCUUAGUGACAUCAAAAAUACUGCCAUUCAGAUGUUAUGCAUGCUUUUCCAGCAAGCUUUGGCUUGAAAGGAGAGGCUCUGAGCUGAGCUGACCUUUCUUUAUUGAAAAUUUGUUACUAAAGCUCAUGGGAUCGAAAGGUUUGAAGGAUGACAUGUGUUUGUGCCUUGGAAUUGUUGAUUGUAGACAAGAAAAUCUUAAGAAUUAUUGAUACAAUGAGCUAUGCUCUCGUCUAGGGUGGAUAGGGAUUUGGAUAAAUGGAUUGAUACUGGAAAUCGAGGUAAAAUAGAUGAGCUUAUAAAGAAUAAGAAGAGUAGAAGGAGUCAUACAACUCUUCCAUUUUUCCAGCACAAGAAGUUCUUAAUAUUUCAUAGAGCCUUUUUAAAAUUUUAUAGUAUGUUAUUUCAUAGAGUCUUUUAAAAUUCUAUAGUAUGUUAGUGAAAAAAAGAUUGUGGACUUAUCAUUUUGUUACAAUUGAAAUAAAUAUGUAUUAGAAUAAAAAUUUACAAAAGUUUAGUGUAUAAAUUAUGUAUUAACUAGUUUUUGGAAACCAAAAAAGAUAGUUUUUUGACGCAUUUAUUUAUUAAAAAAACGUGUGUUAAAAUUCUAUAAAAUACGCUACCUGGGCAUUGUGUAAGUCAGGAAGUCAUGCUCAUACGCUACCGGCGGCAUACUCCGGCUCCAGAGUAAGCUGCGUAUGCCGCUGACGAAGCAAAACUGUAAACCCUAAGUUAAUUUUCUCCAUGUAUCUGCGUCUUUCCUCCAUUACUGUUUUGCGACAAUGUCAGAUUUUCUUUGAAUUCUUGCCUGCAUUCCUUUUAAGAAAAAAAUCAUGAACUUAUCGGUUUGAAGUUACACCCAUAUUUUUAACACAUAUUUACAGGAAAUAAUGAAAUUGUUGUUUUCAAGAAUGUGUUGACAUUGCAAAAAUCAAGAAAUUCAAGAAAUCUUUCUUUCUCCAAAAAAUUCUGUUGUUUUUUCGUACUGUGUGUUGAAGAUGUUCUAGAAUUUGUUCUAGAUCUUCUAUGUAUGUAUGGAUGGCAUUUUGAUGUGCAGAAAGUUGUGCUCAAUUUAUUUAUUAUUUUACUUCAUCAUAUGAAGUUGUGUACAUCUUUUGAAGGAUCAUCUGACGUUGUACCUUCUUUUGAAAGAUCAUUUUGGAUGAUCAUCUGAAGUUGUACUUUCCUUUGAAGAAUCAUUUGAAGUUGUACUUUCUUUUGAAGGAUGAGAUGGAUUACGAGUUUGAACAGUGUUUCUGACAUUGAGCAGCGAAGUAAAUAUCAGAUAUAUCCACUGUUUUCUUGAACCUAAACUGCCCUAAAUAAACUUUAUAUGAUUUGACUUUGGACCUUUAAAGAUCUCUGUCGAAUUUAGGUGUGAUUUUUGUUGGCAUUUAUGACUUAGACUCCUACUUUAUGCUUACCCAAUCAUUUCUGCUUUUCUUUAAUUGAAUUUUAAAGUCUUUAUGCUUACCCAAUCAUUAAAAGCACUGGUCAUCACUUGCUCGGAAUUUUUACUUUGUGUACCAUAUGUAGGUUAAGAGAGAAGUGAAAAGAAACAAAAAGGUUAGGUGGGGAAGGUGUGGUUCUUCUCUUUAUUGAGUAUACUGUCGCAAUUCUCUAGACUUAAAGUAACUUUGCCGGUGAGAGUAUUGCAGUAUCAACAUUUAUCACUUUCUUUUCUCUCAAGCUACUUUUGGAAAACCUAGAUAAGAAUAUAGUUGUUGAAGUAUCCUCCUCAUCUGUUGCUAUUCCAUUCCCUGUUCCUCUUUUCAGAUAUACCUGUGAAUUGUGAGUUAAAAUAAAGAGGUGCAGGGCCUAGAGUUGGAAAGCUACACUGGAGAGUGCACUGUCAGGAGAGAGAUUGGUUUGCAGAAUAUUCUGUGGGGAAGUGCUUCUGAAAAGCGUGAUCCCUGAGUCUAGAUUCCUCAGUCAGAUAGAAAGUUCAAGUCGGUGAAUUGAUGGAUUUCUUUAUUGCUCAUUUAUUCAUCUUCAAGGCUAUUUUUAAAUUUCUGUAGAUACUUUCUAAAACUUUAUAUCUUCAUCACUUUCAUAAGAUGAUCCAUCAUAAAGAUGUGGAGGUUUUGUCUUCCGUGAAGUUCAAUAAGACUUGUUUUCUCUCGAGCUGAUUAAAUUGUUGCUUAACACGGCACCUCAGGUGGGUCUAUGAGAUUUUGGAAUUAUAUUUCCAUUUCAUGGUGUUUCUUCUCCGUCUCAUAAGGCUAACUGAUGCAUGCAGCCACGAUGGGUUUCAAUGCUUUUGGUGAAAAUACAUAUGAUCUUCCACUUCUCUUAUUUUUAUUACUCUCUCUGGUAUAACUCAUAAUGGCUAUCAACAUGUUCUCUCUUGGACUUAAAAACUGCUACUUGGCAUGGCAUCCCUCGUGGGUCUUUGAGAUUAUGGGAAAAGUUCCAUUUUUUGGUAUUUCUUCUGUGUCUCAUACGUAAACUGAUGCUUGCAGCCAUGCUGGGUUUCAAAACUUUGAAGCUAAUCGUGUUUUGGCGCCGCAAAGUUUAAUAUUUUUUUGUCACCAAAUCACCCUUUUGGUGAAACAGCACGGCCUUCUACUUUUCUUGUUCUUAUUACUCUUUCUGGUAUAACUCAAAAAAAGCAGUUUAACAUGUUCUCUCUUGAGCUGAAUAACUGUUGCUUGGCAUGGCACCUAGGGUGGGUAUAUGAGAUUUAGGAGGAAGUUCCGUUUGAUGGUGCAUUUUCUGUCUCAUAAGGAUAAUUGAUGCCUGCAGCCAUGACAGUGCAGAAACUAGAACUUGAAGGAGAUUGCAUCAUUCUGCAGAAGCUAUCUGCUCGGAGCUACUACAGCAGUCAUCCCAUCAAUGUGAUCAAUCUUCCACCCCAAGUUGUGGUGACAGUGUAUUGUCUGAUGUAUAGUAAUGUUAACAAAUUUCUGGGGAGUGUUAGGUUUCUUUCUGACAUUAUCUCAAACAAAUAUGUUAGUAAUUCACAUGACCUGAUGUGUUCUCUCUCAGUUAAUUAGCUUCAUUUCUUUCACCCACUUUUCAAGAUUCUCUUGGACUGCAUUCUUAUUAAUCAUGAAAGCAUUAGAGAUUACGAUGUCUAAGUCUCCUAGGCCACAGUCUCUUUCAUAUUCCAUCUCGCUUAUGUUCAGAUCUUGUAAUAGAACUCUCAUGCAUGACAUUUUUUAUUCAAAUUUUCAGAAUUUGCACCUAGAAAAACUCAUGGUUUCUUAGAAUCUGGGACAAAAUGGAUGGACUUCCAUCCAGAGAUUACAGUUGAGUACUUUAACUAUAUCUCAGAUGUUUUUGCGUCUUCUCUAUUCUGCUAAAAUGAUGGAUUGUUACCUUUUCCAAUAUGAGAUGCAGAACGGUACUUGAACGGAGAGUCUUAAGAAUCAGGAUACCAUUGAUAAAACCUGCCUAGUGGGUGCAAAAGUUCUCCAACUGGUGGAUAAGAGAAUAUUAGGGAUUGUGGGCGGCACAAGUCUUGGUAUAAUUGAUCAAGGCCUAUUCUGGCCUUUGUAUAGUCCAUUAUGUCUGUUCUGUGUUUCUCAAUUUUUUUUAAUUAUGCAUUUACUUUAAAAGAUUGUUUCUCUUAGAGAUUUUUUGGUUGAACUCAUUAGAAAAUAUAAAUCUUAGCAUAAACUUCCUCAUAAAUAGUAUAAUAUUUGUUGGUCGUGUAAGUAAAAGUAAUAACUGCAUAACUAUGCAUCACUCUGUUAUCCACAUAGGAAAAUAAGCUCGACAUAACUUAUGCGACGUUUGGUUGGCAGUAUUUAACUGUUCAUUAUUAAUAUCCUUAUGACUUAUGCUGGAAUCUAUGUAUUAGCUUAUGAUGGAUAGAAUAUGGAAAAUAAUUGGACUCCUAGACUCCCCCCCCCCUCCCUCCACACACACACACACAAAUAAGAAAACAUGUGUUAACAAUGCACACGUGUGUAUUUACAAGCAAAAACUCCCUUUAUAGUAUAUAAUUCAUGCAUAGCAUAACUCAUUUAUUAUUCACCGCGUUAGGAUCCCUACAUUAUAAUUUACUGCAUAACAGUUUUUACAUUAUUAUAACUGGAUAAACAUUCCCAGCAUGACUAAUACUUAACCAAAUAAUGUCUUGCGAAGACGGUUGUUUUCUUGAUAAUACAGGUUCCAUGUGUUUUUGGGCGUUAGUCUAACUGAUGUAGAAUUUCUUCUAACAGAUCUUUUGGUUCUUGGAUUGCACAUGAUUUUCCACUUUUCUUAUUGUUAUUACUCUCUCAGGUAUAACUCAAAAUGAUAAUCAAGCAUGUUCUCUUUUGAGCUGAAAAACUAUUGCUUGGCAUGGCAUCUCACGUGGGUCUGUGAGAUUUUAAAGAAAGUUCUAUUCAUGGUGUUUAUUCUCUGUCUCAUAAGGCUAAAUGAUACAUGCAGCCAUGACAGGUUCCUAAUCUUUUGAGCUGAUUCGUUUUUUGACUGGGCAGAGUUCAGUUUCUUUGCCGCCCCUCACCGAACCACCCUUUCGUGAUAUUAUGUAUGCACUACUUCUUUUCUUAUUCUUAUUGCUCACUCUGCUCUGAUUUAUACACAAUGAAGAUUUGGAGGUUUUCAUCCUUCGAUGUCGAGGUAAAGAACUCAAACAACGGCACUUCAGGUGGGUCUAUGAGAUUUUGGGAAAAGUUCCAUUUUUUGGUCUUUCUUCUGUCUCAUAGGCAAACUGAUGCUGGCACAGCCAUACUGGGUUUCAAAGCUUUUGAGCAAAUGGUGUUUUGGCAUCGCAAAGUUCAAUUUUUUUAUACAUUCAUGAAGUUAAGUACAUGUAAGCCAUUUGCAAAUCAGUCUUACAAGGGAAAGGUAACAUAGACUGUAGUUGUUAAUACAAGAUUAGGAAGUGACAUCAACUAUUAGGAGUACGAAGUGGGAUUAUGGAUUAUUGGGAAUAAAGCUAACAUUGUGUAGUGAAUACAGAAGGGUUUGGAGGGACUGCUCACCUACAUUCCGAACCUUUUACUUCACUUUAAAGCUUGUUCUCUUUAGCAUUCCUGUUCCUCCCUCUGAAGGAUAUAUGCCAGUUCUAAGUGGUAGAAAACCAAAGCAUGACUAACACUUCUUCUCAGUCUAGUUGUUCUAUUCUGAGGUAUCAAUACCACAGUUUAUAUCAGUUCUGUGCUCCUUGUUGAAAGCACAAUAUCUAAAAAGAUUCUUUUUCAUGUGUUUUAUAAGAAAAUGUUUGUUUCUUGAUAAUACAGGUUCCGUGUAUUUUGGGUGUGAGUUUAACAGAUGUGGGCAUGUUAGAAUUUCUUCAACAGGUUAAGUCCAUUGACACCUACUAGCUCUCAUAUUUCACUCCUUCAUUUGAUUAAAGUCUAAUCUUUGUAUUGUGGAAUCUUGCUUAUGUUCUUGCUUAAAUGCCGUGUCAUGUUCUCUGAAUAAACUCCCCUGUUUAACGUUACUGCCUCAAUUAACGCCUUUAUUUUAUUCCUCCUCUCAUUUUUCUUUUGAUUAUGCAUAAACAAGAACUGGAGGAUAUGAACCUGAAGGCUUCAUGCGAAACUCUGAAAGAUUGUGCUUUUAUACGUUUUUUCCCCGUUAAACGUCAUCUUUAGGCGAACUUUUGGUAUUCACUUCUACUAGUUUUCCAUUUGAAUUUCCCCUACAUCAACAACUUAUUCAAAAAUGGAGACAAAUGUUUAGUUGUUUACACUUUAAGCAACUCUAUGAGAUCAUUGCUUCCUGGAAUCUAUUCAUCGCCAAGUUAAGGUAAACUACUUGGGUGGCAUUUGGUUAGAGUUUUAAAAAUUGACUUUUCUAACUUAAGAGUUUGAUUGUUCACGCAAUCCGAAAUGGUGAUUGGUUGUAAUUGAAGUAAUCUUUACAAAAAUGUAUGUAUAAAUAUAAAACGGAUAAACAAGGUGAUUUUUGAUGAUGUUGUCUGUUUGGUUUAAAUUCAAGAGUUUUUGGAAGUUUGCGAGCUUAGAUAUGGAGAAAUCUGCAGCAUUCUCUAACAUGGAAUGGAAGGAGCGAAAACCAUAAUGGAUAAGGUGCUGUAGAGAUUCCAUAUAUUGGUGCUUUUAUAUUGCAAUCACAAACACAUUGUUUGUAUAACUUAACUUUCUAUGUUGGGAAUAAUUUCUUGAAAAUUUAAAUAAAAUGUCUAUUUAUCCCCUCCCCUUUCCUGCAGUAAAGAUUUAUAAUUUCACAGGUUGUGGGGGUUUGAUUUUCUUGAUUGCCUUCAAAUGCAUGUUUUUAAUAUUUCAUAGAGGCUUUUUUGGAUCUUCAAUGAUGAACAGUUGUUAUGUUAUACAGCCCCAUAAUUUCUAUUAUUUCUAGUACUCUCAUUUAUUUAUUGCAUGAACGUUUGGUAUUGAUUUGAUUUUAUCGCAAAGAAUCUUAUAUAGAGAUAUUCUUGGUUGGUCAAUAUAUAAACUUUAUAAUUUUUUCAAUUAUCCGAUCUAGGGACAUGUCUUAGUAUUCAUGAAAGACAUUUAUAGUUUUUUUUUUUUGGUGGAUCGAUGAAGGGAAAUAUAGUAUACGGAGUACUAUAUAUAUCUCUCCGUCCAAACCUGUAUAUUAAAAAUAGUUGUCCAUCAAUACUAGUUCAAUUUUUUUUAAAAAUAUAUAGAUAUAAUUUACUUUUUGUGUUUAUUUUACCCUUCUAAUUAAAUACUAUUUAUCAUCCAACACAUUUUAAAAUAUUAAAUUUAAUAAAAUCAAUGGAUAUAUCGAUAUUAUCUCUAUUAUUUAUUGUUUUAUUAUUUUUUAAGGAGUGCAACAAGUCAUUCGUGGACAACUAUUGUAAGACAAGAAAUAAUUUAUAAUUUUAUAUGAAAGGAUUAAAUUUUGAUCGUAAAUUUUAUAUUUUAAAUUAACCAAUCAAAAUUGUACAAGUUAAAUAUCAAAGUAAUAGUUUUUUUUUAAAAAUCAUGUAGACUCUUUUAUUAAUUUCUUUUUAUUAUCAAGGGAGACUGGAGUAGGGCUUAUUUUUUUAUUAAAAUAAAUAAAUAAAUAAAUUAUUAAUUAGAGUAGUUUUCAUGUUUUUUUCCGCGUCCUUUUAUUUUCUCAAAGCGCGUCUUAGAAAGCUUUAAAUAGACGCUACAGACGCAAUUUAGAACUGAAGAACGCUACACACGCCGGCGCAGAGUAUGCCACCGGUAUGCUACCGGUGACGAAUCAAAAUCAUAAACCCUAAAAUGAUUUUCUUGCAUCUAUAGCUUCUUCCAUCCAUUAACUGUUAUGUUACAUCCAUUAACUGUUAUGUUACAAUGGGGAGGCUGCUGUUUUAUUUCCAGACGGAUUUGGUGAUAGACGUGUGGAGGGUAAAUGCUUGCUGCCAAAUAUGCCCUGAAAACAGGAUUCCUUACCUGGGCAUAUGUCUAGGCAUGCAAAUUGCUGGGAUCGGGUAUGCUAGAUUCAUUCUUGGGUUGCAAGAUGCGAACAGUACAGAGUUUGAUACCAACACCCACAGUCCUUGUGUAAUUUUUAUGCCGGAAAUUAAGUUCUGAUACUUUCCCUUCAUCACGAAUUUCCCUCAUGAUCUUCAUGUAUUUUAGGUCUCAUUUUAGCAGCGGCUAUAUUAAUCUGUAGACCAGGUUCACAGGGUUCAAAAGCGCAUAUGGGUGGUAGCAUGUGUCUUGGAUCAAGAAGAACAUAUUUUUUUUAAUGAAGUAAGGUGAUUUCAUUAGAAGGCAUCAAGAAGAUGCAAGGUAAAAUAUUACAGCAAAAAGAAGGGGUCUGCUUCUGUGCAAGAAUUUACUCAAUAACUAAAGAACAGAUAAAACCAAGAAAAGAUCAACAGUGGUCACAUGGCCCGGUUGAAUCAACUAUAUAAGUAGACUAAACAGUUGGAUUUAAGAAUGUGGUUAGGAAUUGAAAUCCCAUCAAAACAUCUACAAUUCCUUUCAUCCCAGAUACACUAAAAGAUAGCAGCAGGCACCAUGUGCCAUGUUUUUUUGAUGGGUUUCCCAACUCUCCACUAACACCAGCUCUCAUAGGCUUCUUUGAUACUAUUUGGCAUGACCCAGGUAAUUCCAAAAACUGAUAAGAACAUACUCCAUAUGACUGCUGCUAAUUACAGUGCAAAAAUAGAUGCCUUCCAAAAACUGAUAAGAACGUAUUUCCAAGUCAAAGGUUCUAAAUCCGCAAAACUCUAAGUACUUCCUUUCCUCUAACCUCACUGCAUUGACUGUAUCUUGAUCUGAAGCCAUUUUGGAGAACUUCUCCUAUUGAACUUGCCCAGUGGCAGAACUAUAUCUUUUCUCAGAUUUGGCAGCCGGAGCUUUGUAGUUGAAUCCUGAUAUGAUGCAGCAAUUUGAAGAUGCUGGCCUUAUGAAAAUGGUUGCGGCAUGGAGCAAGAGCAGCCAGAGGGACUACUAUAGUGAGUCUAGCGUCUACUAGAGUAGAGUUAAGUGAAAAGGUAUAGCAGCCUUUCCGAGCGAGCCUCUGGGAUCUCCUGCUCUAGGUAUUUGAUGACAAUGUAUCAUCUGACUUUGCACUUUCUUCUGAAGGAUCAUCUGAAGUUGUACUUUCUUUUGAAGGAUCUGCAGUUUCACGAGAUGGACUGGUGGUUAUGGGAAAAGGAAAUGGUGGUCUGUUUUUGGCAAAAUGUUGAUCUGACAUCAUCUUUUCUAUUUUACUGAUACUGCUGUUCAUAAUUUCCUUUGCCCGACAACUAUGAUGUUUGAAUGAUUGUUCAUUGUUGUAGUCCUAUAGGAUAGCAUACAUUACUCAACAGUUUCACCAUAUCUUGAUAACACUUUCUUGGAAGGCAUUAAAAGAUAGCAAUAUGUGGAAGUGUUGUAGUUAGUGUUGUUAGCAGCAGAAUUAGGUAUGGGUUGUACUGACUUUUUCCAAAUCCCAAUCAUUGCUUGAAGAAGCCUUAACAGGCAAUGAACCUGAGGCCAGUGUAGGCUUUUGUUUCUCCUUGAUCUCUUCUUGUUGCCUUUUGCUCUCUGUUGUGGUCUGUAUGUUCUUGCCUUUGUAAGUAUUAAGUAGUGCUCUUCUA